UUGCAAGAAUACACUGAGCACACAGGCCAAAUUCAUCAUCUGGUAGUGACAUGCUAGGCCCUGGCUGUGAAAUGCUGUCGCCCAAGUAUCAGCACUGCACAUGCCUGCUGUGCGCAUCAGAUCCCUUGGUAUGUGACUUGAAUAUCUCCCUCCCUGCUUGUCUCCCUUCUCAGAAAUGCUAAGCAGAGUACCUAAAAUCAGCAAGAACGACGAACAUUCAGCAAAUCUGAAAACAAUGCCACAGCACUGCAUUUCUGCUGAAGGUGACCCCAUGUCUCCCCAGACAGGAGCGUUACUCUUUGGAGGUCACGCUCUAAUACCUGCCUGGCUCCUGUAAAACAUCACACUCUGAACUGCCCAAUGGAUGUUUUGACCAAGGAGUUCUACUCAUAACACGCCAAACAAGCUUUGGAAAUGUGCACAGACUGACUGCCUUGAUGAGGAGAAGCUGAGAUUGCGUCAAAUUCUUUGUGUUUUAAAGGUCAACACAUCCACUUCUCCAACAAGCUUUCUUACGGUUGUAAUUACAGCCCUUUUUCCCAAUGCAAUCAAACAAAUAUGUCUUGAAAAAGCAUGAAGUGGUAGAAGAUAUCCCAUAGACUUAGCACUGCAAAACUGAACUUCCUCCAUUCAGAUGAAGAAAUCAACUUUUGUCUCUAGGAAUCAAAUGAUCUUGCUGUUUCUCUGCUCUCCAGUUAUCUACGACCUACUGAGCCAAGAUCUCACAGAAGGUGUUCCCACAGAUUUUAAAACAGAGUUGAUGCUUGAGGGAGUUUUAUGUUUGAAGAAGAAAAGAACAGCGAUCGCCAUCAGACAACUCAGAAAAGCAACUCAGAGAACCAGAAGUGGAAAGGUGAGGCAAAUGGCGGAAGGUGUGACACAAAGCCAAGUGAAAUACAGUGACUGAGCACAAAGGUGGGAGGGGAAAAAAGAAAGGUGGGAGCUGUCUACCAAGCCAAUAUGAAAAGGUUGAAAUGUUGAAUAAUCAGAAAGGAAAAAAAGGGAGAGCUUUUGUGAUAGGAAAAAGAAAGGGCAGAAGAGAAACAAGCACAGUGACAACACAGACUCAUGUACGCAGGGGGCAAAAAGAUGUUUCCAGUGAUAGACCAUAUGGGCAAAGAUAGAAACACAACCGCAGAUGCAUUUCAAAGGCAACAUGUAGAAACCAAGCAAAAACUACAAGAGAAGAAACGGAUGGGGUGAACUGCUUAAAAUCUCAACAAAACAAAAUAAACAUUUUUUGGGGGAAAAAAAAAUAUAUAAAUAAGUAAAUAACCUUUUCCAGCAUAAUGAAAGCAUUCAUUUUCUAAAACGGCCACUUUUGAAUACAAUUUUCCCCAUUCAGCCAAUGUCAACCAGCUCUAGUUAUGCUUCAGGCCCCUAGGGCAGAUCGUAAUCUAUGUGUGUUUGAAACGAGAACAUCUUUGUUCAGACCUUAGGCCAACAGCAAACAAGGGAUCUAUCAGUGGAGGCAGGAAGAGAACAGUGAGCGGACAUCUGAGCACGUUUUGAAUGUCAGAUCACACCCAAGUAAUCAAAUACAACGGGGCCAAACAGCCGCUUCUAAUAUAGUUCUAUAUAAUUCUAUAUAAUUCAGUUCUUCAUAACAACUUCAAAUAAUGCAAUACUUUUCCUUCCAUUUCAGCUGCUACAGCAGCUUCUGCUGUGGUAAGGUGAGAAUUGUCUGUGAUAUACAGCUACAGUGUAUGGUCCAUGGAGCCCUUCAAAGAUUUAUCAGUCUUUCUCAAGCUGAUCUCUAGCUGAUCAGCCAACGUACUGCAUGAGAAUGGUAUAAGCAGUUCAGAUCUAGAGUGGAAGUCCAUAGCUUCAGUCCCCAUUUGAUAACCAGCUCACAGAAAGCCUCACCCAGGUGGGACUGCCAUCAGCAUCUCCGCGCUCACUAUUCCUCCUCUGUACACUGCUCAGAACAGCAGUUUCAACAAACCAGCAUUUCCUUCCAAGAACCUGCAGCUGACAAUGCAGCACAGAAUUCCCUUUGUGCAUUAAAGCACUCACUCAGGAGAUUGGCUGGAAAGCUUGAGAACGCUGUACCAUUUCAAAGCUUUGUGUCCAGGCCCUUU
This is a non-coding RNA of Coturnix japonica (Japanese quail), 2081 nucleotides long. The record is from RefSeq and is a predicted model, not a curated record. NCBI's taxonomy places the organism in Eukaryota, Metazoa, Chordata, Aves, Galliformes, Phasianidae.